UUGGAAAUGGCGGAGAGCAGAGACCACAGCGACAACUUGGGCUUGCAAAACGCGAGUGCGCCGUCAUUGAAACGCUAGGAAACCGCCCCGCGAGUGAUUUGCCUCCCCCCCGGAGUGAAUGACGCUCCGCUUCUUGCCCGCGGGGGACACAACGGUCGUCGGACGCGGUGCAGGAAAAACGGGGGGAUUUUGUUUUGGUGAAGCGGCAGGUUUUGGAUUUUUUUUUUUUAGCAAGGUGGGUUAGCUAGGCUAGGCUAAGCGUGCUAGCAGCUCGGCGCUAGCUCACCUCUCGCGUCGUGGUGGUGGUGGUGUGUUUUUUUACCCACGCAGGCUUGUUUGUCAACAUUAGCCGACGCUAAAUUCGCCAGCGGAGCUUGACUAACGCAGCAACUUUUUGCUCGGGCUUCCCUGCGCGUGUUGUUGACGCAGCGGCUGACCUCAACGUUGGACCCCCCUCCCUCAAAAAAGAGGAUUGUUUAUGGAAUUUUAAAAAAGAAAAGAAAGUCAAAACAUCUCUGGCCACCUUUGCUAAAUUAAGUUAAUCUGGUUAGCUGGGUUAGCUUAGCUGACUGUGGCUAACUGUGUUGACGCUCGGGCUAAGCUGCUGUUUUUGCUAUUAUCGUCCAGCGUGGAUCGAUUAUCAGGGGACACCAAACGGACAACAACACAGAAAUUGAACUCCCCACAUGUGCUUGAAAGAAGCGACGGGGGAAUUGCUUUUUUUCCAGCAGGUGUGGGGCCCUCGGUGAGCACAGUCCGGGCGGAUCAGAGUCGUCAUAAAUCAGAGUGUGUAGCCACCGCACAGCGUUUCAGUCAGUCAGGGUUGCAGAUCCGCUCAGAUACCGUGCAGCGGGACGUGCAGGAGCGCUUGUUUCCGCAAAGCUGAGACAAGAUUGGCUGUCGGUGCAGCCUGCGUAGCACGGUCUGAGGUUUUUGUCCCUCAGCUCUGCUGCUCUGACUCACGUUAACACACACAUGCAUAUACAUGUGUAUGGUCUUCAGCUGCUGUGAGCGAGUGAAUGCGGGGAAGAAGAGAAGAGCGGCGCUGCCUUCCUGCUGUCAGAGCCGUGGCCUACAUUCUCGCCUGGA
Long non-coding RNA from Solea senegalensis (Senegalese sole), 1089 nucleotides. RefSeq lists it as uncharacterized. NCBI's taxonomy places the organism in Eukaryota, Metazoa, Chordata, Actinopteri, Pleuronectiformes, Soleidae. The transcript has 3 exons. The record is from RefSeq and is a predicted model, not a curated record.